RNAcentral lists this ribosomal RNA (402 nucleotides) under uncultured Rhizorhapis sp. RNAcentral describes it as "bacterial SSU rRNA". It matches the Rfam family "Bacterial small subunit ribosomal RNA", at positions 355 to 774 of the family's 1533-position model. The record is from RNAcentral. Lineage: Bacteria; Pseudomonadati; Pseudomonadota; Alphaproteobacteria; Sphingomonadales; Sphingomonadaceae.
UGGGGAAUAUUGGACAAUGGGCGAAAGCCUGAUCCAGCAAUGCCGCGUGAGUGAUGAAGGCCUUAGGGUUGUAAAGCUCUUUUACCCGGGAUGAUAAUGACAGUACCGGGAGAAUAAGCCCCGGCUAACUCCGUGCCAGCAGCCGCGGUAAUACGGAGGGGGCUAGCGUUGUUCGGAAUUACUGGGCGUAAAGCGCACGUAGGCGGCUGUUCAAGUCAGAGGUGAAAGCCUGGAGCUCAACUCCAGAACUGCCUUUGAAACUAGAUAGCUAGAAUCAUGGAGAGGUGAGUGGAAUUCCGAGUGUAGAGGUGAAAUUCGUAGAUAUUCGGAAGAACACCAGUGGCGAAGGCGGCUCACUGGACAUGUAUUGACGCUGAGGUGCGAAAGCGUGGGGAGCAAACA